GUGAUAUGCAUUUUGUUAGAUGAGUAUUGUGAAUUUGUGAUAUAGUUUUUGUUUAGGCUAAUAUGAUGAGAUUUUUAUUUUUAAUUGCCCCCUAGUUAUUUAGGCUAAAUGAAAAUAUUGGGCACUCUUGGCCAUAGUUGCCAUAGUUAUUAAAGGCUCAAGGAGCAUCGAGGCGCCAAGGUGUCUUGCAGCCUAGGCGCAAGAUGUAAGCGCGCGCCCGAGAGAGCCAAGCCGCAAAAAUAAAAAAUAUAUAUUA
RNAcentral lists this unclassified non-coding RNA (256 nucleotides) under Hevea brasiliensis (rubber tree). The record is from RNAcentral. Lineage: Eukaryota; Viridiplantae; Streptophyta; Magnoliopsida; Malpighiales; Euphorbiaceae.